RNAcentral lists this ribosomal RNA (408 nucleotides) under uncultured bacterium. RNAcentral's name for it is "partial 16S ribosomal RNA". It matches the Rfam family "Bacterial small subunit ribosomal RNA", at positions 28 to 526 of the family's 1533-position model. The record is from RNAcentral.
GACGAACGCUGGCGGCGUGCUUAACACAUGCAAGUCGAACGAAGUGGCGAACGGGUGAGUAACGCGUAAUCAACCUGCCCUUCAGAGGGGGACAACAGUUGGAAACGACUGCUAAUACCGCAUACUGAAGGAGGGGAUUGCGUUGGAUUCGCUGGUUGGAGGGGUAACGGCCCAACCAGGCGGAGAUCACUAGCCGGGCCUGGAGGGUUAACGGCCACAAUGGGAAUUGGACACGGCCCCGACUCCCACGGGAGGCAAGAGUGGGGGAUCUUCGGCAAUGGGGGGAAAGCUGACUGAGCAACGCCGGGUGGUAUAUGGCGGCCCUCGGGGUGGUAAGCUAUGUUAAGCGGGAAGCGUUACCGGAAUAGAAAGCCACGGCUAACUACGUGCCAGCAGCCGCGGUAAUAC